AAUAGAUACCCGGGUAGUCCACGCCGUAAACGAUGAGUGCUAAGUGUUAGAGGGUUUCCGCCCUUUAGUGCUGCAGCAAACGCAUUAAGCACUCCGCCUGGGGAGUACGGUCGCAAGACUGAAACUCAAAGGAAUUGACGGGGGCCCGCACAAGCGGUGGAGCAUGUGGUUUAAUUCGAAGCAACGCGAAGAACCUUACCAGGUCUUGACAUCCUUCGCUACUUCUAGAGAUAGAAGGUUCCCCUUCGGGGGACGGAGUGACAGGUGGUGCAUGGUUGUCGUCAGCUCGUGUCGUGAGAUGUUGGGUUAAGUCCCGCAACGAGCGCAACCCUUGACCUUAGUUGCCAGCAUUUAGUUGGGCACUCUAAGGUGACUGCCGGUGACAAACCGGAGGAAGGUGGGGAUGACGUCAAAUCAUCAUGCCCCUUAUGACCUGGGCUACACACGUGCUACAAUGGAUGGUACAAAGGGCUGCAAGACUGCGAAGUCAAGCCAAUCCCAUAAAACCAUUCUCAGUUCGGAUUGCAGGCUG
This 532-nucleotide ribosomal RNA is filed under the name uncultured bacterium. RNAcentral's name for it is "bacterial SSU rRNA". It matches the Rfam family "Bacterial small subunit ribosomal RNA", at positions 777 to 1307 of the family's 1533-position model. The record is from RNAcentral.